RNAcentral lists this ribosomal RNA (553 nucleotides) under Penicillium chrysogenum. RNAcentral's name for it is "eukaryotic LSU rRNA". The stretch from base 184 to 336 matches the Rfam family "5.8S ribosomal RNA". Lineage: Eukaryota; Fungi; Ascomycota; Eurotiomycetes; Eurotiales; Aspergillaceae. The record is from RNAcentral.
AUCAUUACCGAGUGAGGGCCCUCUGGGUCCAACCUCCCACCCGUGUUUAUUUUACCUUGUUGCUUCGGCGGGCCCGCCUUAACUGGCCGCCGGGGGGCUUACGCCCCCGGGCCCGCGCCCGCCGAAGACACCCUCGAACUCUGUCUGAAGAUUGUAGUCUGAGUGAAAAUAUAAAUUAUUUAAAACUUUCAACAACGGAUCUCUUGGUUCCGGCAUCGAUGAAGAACGCAGCGAAAUGCGAUACGUAAUGUGAAUUGCAAAUUCAGUGAAUCAUCGAGUCUUUGAACGCACAUUGCGCCCCCUGGUAUUCCGGGGGGCAUGCCUGUCCGAGCGUCAUUGCUGCCCUCAAGCACGGCUUGUGUGUUGGGCCCCGUCCUCCGAUCCCGGGGGACGGGCCCGAAAGGCAGCGGCGGCACCGCGUCCGGUCCUCGAGCGUAUGGGGCUUUGUCACCCGCUCUGUAGGCCCGGCCGGCGCUUGCCGAUCAACCCAAAUUUUUAUCCAGGUUGACCUCGGAUCAGGUAGGGAUACCCGCUGAACUUAAGCAUAUCAAUA